GCCCCGUUAGCUCAAUUGGAUAGAGUCCCGGUCUUCGGAACCGGUGGUACAGGUUCAAGUCCUGUACGGGGCA
This is a transfer RNA of 73 nucleotides. It matches the Rfam family "tRNA". From Rfam's summary of the family: Transfer RNA (tRNA) molecules are approximately 80 nucleotides in length.